Molecule: ribosomal RNA, 253 nt
Filed under: uncultured bacterium
Lineage: Bacteria
Description: partial 16S ribosomal RNA
Rfam family: Bacterial small subunit ribosomal RNA
Source: RNAcentral
GACGGAGGAUGCAAGCGUUAUCCGGAAUGAUUGGGCGUAAAGCGUCCGCAGGUGGCAGUUCAAGUCUGCUGUCAAAGACCGGGGCUUAACUUCGGAAAGGCAGUGGAAACUGAACAGCUAGAGUAUGGUAGGGGCAGAGGGAAUUCCUGGUGUAGCGGUGAAAUGCGUAGAGAUCAGGAAGAACAUCGGUGGCGAAGGCGGAUCUCUGGGCCGAUACUGACGCUGAGGAGCGAAAGCGUGGGGAGCGAACAGG